GGGCGUUUGGGGCGUUUGGAGCCUUUGGAGCGUUCAGAGCGUUCAAAGCGUUCGGGGCGUUCAGAGCGUUCUGCGCGCCCGGCACACAC
This 89-nucleotide transfer RNA is filed under the name Brevibacillus borstelensis. Its description in RNAcentral is "tRNA-Leu". Lineage: Bacteria; Bacillati; Bacillota; Bacilli; Caryophanales; Paenibacillaceae. The record is from RNAcentral.